UGGGGAAUUUUGGACAAUGGGGGAAACCCUGAUCCAGCCAUCCCGCGUGUGCGAUGAAGGCCUUCGGGUUGUAAAGCACUUUUGGCAGGAAAGAAACGUCGCGGGUUAAUACCCCGCGAAACUGACGGUACCUGCAGAAUAAGCACCGGCUAACUACGUGCCAGCAGCCGCGGUAAUACGUAGGGUGCAAGCGUUAAUCGGAAUUACUGGGCGUAAAGCGUGCGCAGGCGGUUCGGAAAGAAAGAUGUGAAAUCCCAGAGCUUAACUUUGGAACUGCAUUUUUAACUACCGGGCUAGAGUGUGUCAGAGGGAGGUGGAAUUCUGCGUGUAGCAGUGAAAUGCGUAGAUAUGCGGAGGAACACCGAUGGCGAAGGCAGCCUCCUGGGAUAACACUGACGCUCAUGCACGAAAGCGUGGGGAGCAAACAGGAUUAGAUACCCUGGUAGUCCACGCCCUAAACGAUGUCAACUAGCUGUUGGGGCCUUCGGGCCUUGGUAGCGCAGCUAACGCGUGAAGUUGACCGCCUGGGGAGUACGGUCGCAAGAUUAAAACUCAAAGGAAUUGAC
RNAcentral lists this ribosomal RNA (566 nucleotides) under uncultured bacterium. Its description in RNAcentral is "partial 16S ribosomal RNA". It matches the Rfam family "Bacterial small subunit ribosomal RNA", at positions 355 to 914 of the family's 1533-position model. The record is from RNAcentral.